This 46-nucleotide small RNA is filed under the name Cyclobacterium marinum DSM 745. RNAcentral's name for it is "Acido-Lenti-1 RNA". It matches the Rfam family "Acido-Lenti-1 RNA". The record is from Rfam by way of RNAcentral. Lineage: Bacteria; Pseudomonadati; Bacteroidota; Cytophagia; Cytophagales; Cyclobacteriaceae.
CCAAGAGCUGACACUCUUGGCUGAGAUAUUUCGCCCCUAUGGGGCU